Molecule: ribosomal RNA, 256 nt
Filed under: uncultured bacterium
Lineage: Bacteria
Description: partial 16S ribosomal RNA
Rfam family: Bacterial small subunit ribosomal RNA
Source: RNAcentral
GAUCAUGGCUCAGGAUGAACGCUGGCGGCGUGCUUAACACAUGCAAGUCGAACGGGAAACCUUUUAUUGAAGCUUCGGCAGAUUUAACUGGUUUCUAGUGGCGGACGGGUGAGUAACGCGUGGGUAACCUGCCUUGUACAGGGGGAGUAACAGUCAGAAAUGACUGCUAACUACCGCAUAAGCGCACAGGACCGCAUGGUCCGGUGUGAAAAACUCCGGUGGUAUAAGAUGGACCCGCGUUGGAUUAGCUUGUUGG